RNAcentral lists this ribosomal RNA (270 nucleotides) under uncultured bacterium. Its description in RNAcentral is "partial 16S ribosomal RNA". It matches the Rfam family "Bacterial small subunit ribosomal RNA", at positions 29 to 326 of the family's 1533-position model. The record is from RNAcentral.
AACGAACGCUGGCGGCAGGCCUAAAACAUGCAAGUUGAACGCUGUAGCAAUACAGAGUAGCGCACGGGUGCGUAACACGUGGGAAUAUGCCUUUUGGUACGGAACAACGUUUGGAAACGAACGCUAAUACCGUAUGGUCCCUCCGGGGUAAAGAUUUAUCGCCAAAAGAGUAGCCCGCGCCUGAUUAGCUAGUUGGUGAGGUAAUGGCUCACCAAGGCGACGAUCAGUAGCUGGUCUGAGAGGACGAUCAGCCACACUGGGACUGAGACA